UGUGUGUGACAUGUGACCUUCC
This 22-nucleotide non-coding RNA is filed under the name Mus musculus (house mouse). The record is from RNAcentral. Lineage: Eukaryota; Metazoa; Chordata; Mammalia; Rodentia; Muridae.